CUUGUACUCCCUCCGUCCGAAAAUACUUGUCAUUGAAAUGGAUGUAUCUAGAUUUAUUUUAGUUCUAGACACAUCCAUUUUGAUGACAAGUAAUUCCGGACGGAGGGAGUACUUG
This is a non-coding RNA of Triticum aestivum (bread wheat), 115 nucleotides long. Lineage: Eukaryota; Viridiplantae; Streptophyta; Magnoliopsida; Poales; Poaceae. The record is from Rfam.